GCUGGACGUCGGGGUGGGCGCCUGUAAUCCCAGCUACUUGGAGGCUGAGACAGGGGAAUCACUUGAACCCGGGAGGCAGAGGUUGCAGUGAGCCGAGAUCAUGCCAUUGCACUCCAGCCCGGGUGACAGUGUGAGACUCCGUCUCAA
This 147-nucleotide non-coding RNA is filed under the name Homo sapiens (human). Lineage: Eukaryota; Metazoa; Chordata; Mammalia; Primates; Hominidae. The record is from Rfam by way of RNAcentral.